UACGUAGGGGGCGAGCGUUGUCCGAAGUUACUGGGCGUAAAGCGCGCGUAGGCGGGCUGUUAAGUGAGAGGUGAAAGGCUGGGGCUCAACUCCAGCAGUGCCUCUCAUACUGGCAGUCUUGAGGGCGGUAGAGAGAAGUGGAAUGGCUGGUGUAGCGGUGAAAUGCGUAGAUAUCGGGAGGAACACCAGUGGCGAAGGCGACUUCCUGGCCUGUUCUUGACGCUGAGGCGCGAAAGCUAGGGUAGCAAACGGG
This 253-nucleotide ribosomal RNA is filed under the name uncultured bacterium. Its description in RNAcentral is "partial 16S ribosomal RNA". It matches the Rfam family "Bacterial small subunit ribosomal RNA", at positions 524 to 776 of the family's 1533-position model. The record is from RNAcentral.